Molecule: transfer RNA, 85 nt
Filed under: Ahrensia kielensis
Lineage: Bacteria; Pseudomonadati; Pseudomonadota; Alphaproteobacteria; Hyphomicrobiales; Ahrensiaceae
Also listed under: 6 other names
Description: tRNA-Leu
Rfam family: tRNA
About the family: Transfer RNA (tRNA) molecules are approximately 80 nucleotides in length.
Source: RNAcentral
GCGGAUAUGGCGGAACUGGUAGACGCACUGGAUUUAGGUUCCAGCGCCGCAAGGCGUGGGGGUUCGACUCCCUCUAUCCGCACCA